AUCAAAUAACAGAUCGAAUAUGUUUUAUCCUUAAAAACAAAUUACACUCCAAUCACACAUCCAAGGUCGACAUAAUGAACACACCUACUUCAUAUAGGGCUACGAAGCCCUUGGAACAGUUAUUAUAUCAUGAUCAGAUAUUUCAUGUGUGUCUAGUGUGCAUAUUAACGGCAUGUGGAUUCCUAUAUAUCAGAUUAUCGGAAAAACAUUUUCUAUGGUUGGUAUUGAACUACAUCGUCUGUGUUAUGCUAGUUUUAUUUGGUUUUAAAAUUGGUUACGCAUUGUGCAAAUCUGAAAUCAGAAAAGAAUCUGCUGAAAUGGAGGAAAGCCGUGAGAUAGUGCGAGAAAUCCGCCAGUCUUUGAAUGAAAUGAAACGUGAGUAUAACAGUUAACCUUAACUGACCCAAACAAAAGAUGUAAGAGUCUUAUUAAAAAUAUUGAUCUCGAGUCUUUAAAAGUCAUGCAUUCUUCAUUGUGGUAAAAGGUAAAAUCACAAAAAUACUGAACUCAGAGGAAAAUCAAUUCGGAAAGUCCAUAAUCACAUGGCAAAAUCAAAUAACAAAACGCAUUAAAAACGAAUGGACAAGAACUGUCAUAUUCCUGACUUGGUACAGGCAUUUUCAAAUGUAAAAAAUGGUGGAUUGAACCUGGUUUUAAAGCUAGCUAAACCUCUCACUUGUAUGACAGUCGCAUCAAAUUCCAUUAUAUUGACAACGAUGUGUAAACAAAACAAACAAAAACAAUAGGCAAAAAUGUCACAAAUAGGGGUAAAUAGUCUAAAUCGGUAGGUCACAUUCGUGAAAAGGGAACGGGAUUGUAGUUACGUAAGUGUCAUCCUUCAAGAGAAAUUCUUUGCAUGUGAUUUAAUCCUGAUCGAUCGGUGGUAUCCCGAUUAUGUGCAUGUGGAUAUAAUGAACUCUCACACAACAAAAUAAAAUACACUGCAACAAGGUUUAUAUCGGUCAACACGAAACGAACAGUAGUACUAUUGUGUGACAAAAUAGUAAAAAAAACAGUGUUGUAAUUUGAAUUAAAACGUUCAAAUUUAAUAUUUUUUUGUAUUUUUACGUUAUCAAUGAAUUUUUUUAUAAACAUUUUAAAUAAUGAAAACAAAAUCUACUGAAAAUUAAAAGAGACAUUUUACAAAGAAAUAAAUGAAUUUAAUAUAGUGUAUAUAAAUGUAUACGCCUAUAUAAAUCCUGUUAACAUUAUUUCUUUUAUUCUUCAGAUAACCAUGAUGACUGAAAUACAAAGGGACAAAAUAAAGACAUCAGUUGUUCCGGUAUUUCUUUUUGUUUAUAUAGAAAAUAUUUAUUCUUGUAUAUCUGUAAAAAUCGUAUAUAUUCAUUCCAUGUUAUGUAAUUCUUCAAGAAAAAAACAG
RNAcentral lists this long non-coding RNA (1381 nucleotides) under Mytilus galloprovincialis (Mediterranean mussel). The record is from RNAcentral. Lineage: Eukaryota; Metazoa; Mollusca; Bivalvia; Mytilida; Mytilidae.